GACGAACGCUGGCGGCGUGCUUAACACAUGCAAGUCGAACGGUAAGGCCCUUCGGGGUACACGAGUGGCGAACGGGCGAGUAACACGUGGGUGAUCUGCCCUGCACUUCGGGAUAAGCCUGGGAAACUGGGUCUAAUACCGGAUAGGACUCCGGACUGCAUGGUCAGGGGUGGAAAGCUUUUGCGGUGGGGGAUGGGCCCGCGGCCCAACAGCUUGUUGGUGGGGUGAUGGCCUACCAAGGCGACGACGGGUAGCCGGCCUGAGGGGGUGUCCGGCCACACUGGGACUGAGAUACGGCCCAGACUCCUACGGGAGGCAGCAGUGGGGAAUAUUGCACAAUGGGCGCAAGCCUGAUGCAGCGACGCCGCGUGAGGGAUGACGGCCUUCGGGUUGUAAACCUCUUUCAGCAUCGACGAAGCGAAAGUGACGGUAGGUGCAGAAGAAGGACCGGCCAACUACGUGCCAGCAGCCGCCGUAA
Molecule: ribosomal RNA, 478 nt
Filed under: uncultured bacterium
Lineage: Bacteria
Description: partial 16S ribosomal RNA
Rfam family: Bacterial small subunit ribosomal RNA
Source: RNAcentral